AGCGAACGCUGGCGGCAGGCUUAACACAUGCAAGUCGAACGGGCGUAGCAAUACGUCAGUGGCAGACGGGUGAGUAACGCGUGGGAACGUGCCUUUUGGUUCGGAACAACCCAGGGAAACUUGGGCUAAUACCGGAUAAGCCCUUACGGGGAAAGAUUUAUCGCCAAAAGAUCGGCCCGCGUCUGAUUAGCUAGUUGGUGAGGUAAUGGCUCACCAAGGCGACGAUCAGUAGCUGGUCUG
Molecule: ribosomal RNA, 240 nt
Filed under: uncultured Nitrobacter sp.
Lineage: Bacteria; Pseudomonadati; Pseudomonadota; Alphaproteobacteria; Hyphomicrobiales; Nitrobacteraceae
Description: partial 16S ribosomal RNA
Rfam family: Bacterial small subunit ribosomal RNA
Source: RNAcentral